RNAcentral lists this ribosomal RNA (253 nucleotides) under uncultured bacterium. RNAcentral's name for it is "partial 16S ribosomal RNA". It matches the Rfam family "Bacterial small subunit ribosomal RNA", at positions 524 to 776 of the family's 1533-position model. The record is from RNAcentral.
UACGAAGGGGGCUAGCGUUGUUCGGAAUCACUGGGCGUAAAGCGCACGCAGGCGGAUUGAUAGGUCAGGGGUGAAAUCCCGGAGCUCAACUUCGAAAUUGCCUUUGAUACUGUCUGUCUUGAGUCCGGGAGAGGUGAGUGGAAUUCCUAGUGUAGCGGUGAAAUUCGUAGAUAUUAGGAAGAACACCAGUGGCGAAGGCGGCUCACUGGCCCGGUACUGACGCUCAUGUGCGAAAGCGUGGGGAGCAAACAGG